UCAAUUUCAAUCAAGGUUAAGAUUUUUAUUCAAUCACAAUAUACCAAAGAGCCAAACGACAAACGACAACAUUGGGCUUAAUACAUUGUUAUCAUUCUGCUAUUUUUUUAUACCCAUCCCUUUCAAAACAAAAAUAGUGCAAAGAAGAACCAAAAUAGAGAAGAGAAGGAGAAAGAGAGAAUGUGAUACCUAAAAUGGCAGUCCUGAAACGAAGGAGCUUGAGGCAACACACACUUAUGAAAACAACAAUUGAAACGAAGGAGCAAAGACGCCACACGCACUAAUGAAAGUCACACGCACUGAUGAAUGCCACACGCAGAUCGAAAGGGCAGAGAAUGUAAGCAGAAACGAAGAACCAGAAAUAAAAAAGAGAGGAGAAGGAGAAGAGGGAAUGUGAUACCUAAAAUGGUAGUCGUACAACUUGAGGCACCUUGUACUGAUGAAAAACGAAGGAAACACGCACUAUGAAAGCAAUGCAGAUGAAAACAUCUUAGCAGAGAGAAACACCAAUAUCGUAUAAGCAGAAACGAAUCAGGUCGAAGGAAAAGCGCGAAUUAAAUUUUUUUUAAUAAUAAACGCAAAUAUCGUCUAAGAAGAACUAAUAAAGUGGAAGGAAAAGCGCGAAUUGAAACUUUUUUUAAUAAUCAUAGAUUGCGCUUAUAAUAUAAAAUGCGUUAUGUGUCGUGUUACCAUAGAUAGCGCUUUUCCAACAACGCGUUAUCUAUUGUUAUAUUUUAAAUUAAAAA
RNAcentral lists this long non-coding RNA (746 nucleotides) under Vigna radiata. RNAcentral describes it as "long non-coding RNA (VRAD_LNC011833)". The record is from RNAcentral. Lineage: Eukaryota; Viridiplantae; Streptophyta; Magnoliopsida; Fabales; Fabaceae.